GAUGAACGCUGGCGGCGUGCCUAAUACAUGCAAGUCGAGCGAACGGACGAGAAGCUUGCUUCUCUGAUGUUAGCGGCGGACGGGUGAGUAACACGUGGAUAACCUACCUAUAAGACUGGGAUAACUUCGGGAAACCGGAGCUAAUACCGGAUAAUAUUUUGAACCGCAUGGUUCAAAAGUGAAAGACGGUCUUGCUGUCACUUAUAGAUGGAUCCGCGCUGCAUUAGCUAGUUGGUAAGGUAACGGCUUACCAAGGCAACGAUGCAUAGCCGACCUGAGAGGGGGAUCGGCCACACUGGAGCUGAGACGCGAUCCGGACUCCUACGGAAGGCAGCAGUAGGGAAUCUUCCGAAAUGGGGGAAAGCCUGACGGAGCAACGCAGCGUGAGUGAUGAAGGUCUGCGGAUCGUAAAACGCUGUUAUUAGGGAAGAACAUAUGUGUAAGUAACUGUGCACAUCUUGACGGUACCUAAUCAGAAAGCCACGGCUAACUACGU
This 496-nucleotide ribosomal RNA is filed under the name uncultured bacterium. RNAcentral describes it as "partial 16S ribosomal RNA". It matches the Rfam family "Bacterial small subunit ribosomal RNA", at positions 28 to 506 of the family's 1533-position model. The record is from RNAcentral.